AUGUGGAGGUGGACGUGGAGGUGGACACGGGACACCGGGGGGGACGCGGGGACACUCACGGCGCCAGGGACAGCCGUAGAGCUCGAGGCGCAGGCAGACGCUCAUGACGCGGUCGGCGCGCGGGUAGAUCCGCAGCGCCCGGGCCACCACGGCCGGCGCCAGGUCCUUCAGCACCACCGCCUCCGGGUCCUCGUUGCCCGCGAUCACCUGCGGCCCCCCGUCAGCUCCCCCUGCCCGGAUCCCCUCCGGAUCCCCCGGGAAGCCCGAGGGAUCCCAGGGACCCUGGGAUCCCCCCCCAGAUCCCCAGCGAUCCCCCAGCACCCCCAGCGAUCCCAGCACCCCGGGGAUCCUUGGAGACCCCCAAGGUCCCUUAACGGGUCCCAGAGCCCCUGGGAUCCCCCCCAGAUCCCCAACGAUCCCUGGGAUCUCCCAGUGCCCCCAGUGAUCCAGGUGUCCCCAGGGAUCCUUGGAGACCCCCACAGCCCCAUAACAGGUCCUAGAGCCCCUGAGAUCCCUCCCAGAUCCCCAACGAUCCCAGAGCCCCCAGCGAUCCUUGGAGACCCCCAAGGUCCCUUAACGGGUCCCAGAGCCCCUGGGAUCCCCCCCCAGAUCCCCAGCGAUCCCCGGGAUCUCCCAGCACCCCCCAGUGAUCCUGGUGCCCCUGGGGAUCCUUGGAGACCCCCAAGGUCCCUUAACGGGUCCCAGAGCCCCUGGGAUCCCCCCAGAUCCCCAACGAUCCCCGGGAUCUCCCAGCACCCCCAGCGAUCCCCCAGGAUCCCUCGAGGACUCCCAGUGUGUCCCCCCAUGUCCCCAGUGGCCGCCCAUGUCCCCAACACGUCCCCAAGGUCCCCAAUGCAUCAUGUCCCCACCAGGCCCUCGUGUCCCCAAACGUCCCCAACAUCCCAUGUCUCCAGUGUGUCCCCACCGCGUCCCCAUGUCCCCAAGGUGUCCCCAAGGUGUCCCAAAGGCAUCUCCAAGGUCCCCAAGGUCCCUCUGUGUCCCCAAUGCACCCCAUGUCCCCACCAUCUCCUCACGUCCCCAAUAUGUCCCCAACAUCCCAUAUCUUCAAUGGGUUCCCAUCAUGUCCCCAUGUCCCCAAGGUGUUCCCAAGGUCCCCAAGGUGUCCCCAAGGUGUCCCCGAGGUCCCCGGUCACCUCGACGCCCCAGCGGUCGCGCCAGCGGAGCCAGCGGCGCCGGUCGCGGCUGUAGCGCAGGCGGUAGGCCCGGGCGAACUCCUUGCCGUGGCCGCCGGCGUGACGUCCCUGCGUCGCCACCAAGGUCACCACGUGGAGGUGGCCCAGGUCCACCUCGAGGAACUCGGCCUCGUCCGGGUACACGGGGCCCGCGGGGCACCAGGCGCCGUCGCCGUCGCUGCGGCCCAGCCUGGGGACAGCGAGGGGACGUCGAGGGGACGCCCGGGGGCCACCAGGUGCCACCUCCAUUGCAGGGACAUCGGGAUAUUGAGGGGAUGUGGGGACAUGGGGACAUCAAGGGGGCAUGGGGACACCCAGGGACAUGGGGACACCCGGGACACGGGGACACCCAGGGGACAUGGAGCUCAUGGCCACCAGGUGCCAUCUCCAUCGUGACAUCGUGGGGACAUCGGGAUAUUGAGGGGAUGUGGGGACAUGGGGACAUCAAGGGGACAUGGGGACACCCAGGGGUAGAGGGACACCCGGGACAUGGGGACACCUGGGACACGGGUGGCCGGGGCUGUGGGAUGGGGACACCGGGAAGAGGCAGGGGA
Molecule: long non-coding RNA, 1747 nt
Filed under: Apteryx haastii (Great spotted kiwi)
Lineage: Eukaryota; Metazoa; Chordata; Aves; Apterygiformes; Apterygidae
Description: lncRNA (ENSAHAG00000003169.1)
Source: RNAcentral